UACGAAGGGGGCUAGCGUUGCUCGGAAUCACUGGGCGUAAAGGGCGCGUAGGCGGCUUUUUAAGUCGGGGGUGAAAGCCUGUGGCUCAACCACAGAAUUGCCUUCGAUACUGGAAAGCUUGAGACCGGAAGAGGACAGCGGAACUGCGAGUGUAGAGGUGAAAUUCGUAGAUAUUCGCAAGAACACCAGUGGCGAAGGCGGCUCACUGGCUCGGUACUGACGCUGAGGUGCGAAAGCGUGGGGAGCAAACAGG
RNAcentral lists this ribosomal RNA (253 nucleotides) under uncultured bacterium. RNAcentral describes it as "partial 16S ribosomal RNA". It matches the Rfam family "Bacterial small subunit ribosomal RNA", at positions 524 to 776 of the family's 1533-position model. The record is from RNAcentral.